CUGGUUGAUCCUGCCAGUAGUCAUAUGCUUGUCUCAAAGAUUAAGCCAUGCAUGUCUCAGUGCAAGCCGUCCUGUGUGUACGGUGAAACCGCGAAAGGCUCAUUAAAUCAGUUAUGGUUCCUUAGAUUGUGCCCCGCACACUUACUUGGAUAACUGUGGUAAUUCUAGAGCUAAUACAUGCCGACUGAGUUCCGACGGGCGUUGCGGGUGGUUCACGCAGCUGUCCCACAACGUUCGGCAGGAACGCUCUUAUUAGAUCAAAACCG
This 266-nucleotide ribosomal RNA is filed under the name Cystococcus echiniformis. RNAcentral describes it as "partial small subunit ribosomal RNA". It matches the Rfam family "Eukaryotic small subunit ribosomal RNA", at positions 4 to 223 of the family's 1831-position model. RNAcentral also lists the same sequence under 1 other name. Lineage: Eukaryota; Metazoa; Arthropoda; Insecta; Hemiptera; Eriococcidae. The record is from RNAcentral.